UUGAUGUACACAUCGGCAGCACUUGAAGAUCAUGUGCAGAGCUCAUGUCUCAGCAAUUCUAGACCAAUCCCUGCCCAGAAAUAAGACACAGCCUUCACGGCGACAGGAAUGGAGACGAUUCACUCUCCAGCCAGAAUAUCUCAAGCCAGUAGUUGUUUGAAGGCUUUGACAAGGAAGCAAGAGUAACUGGGACUUUUCCUAGCUCAUUUCUUGCUAUCAAACUCCUGACUCCAUCCAGCUGUCAUCAUUUCUUGAUGAGUCAGCAUUUCAGAGCUAGGUUUGUUGCUCUUCCCCCAUAUGUAAGAAACUCCAUUCUAGGCAGUAAAUGAAGCCACUCCUCAAUUCAAGAACCAAGGUCUUUUGUUCCCCUAGUAAGGAUAUUCAACUCAAAGUAAAUGAAUGGGAGACAGGCAGAACAAAGUUUGGAAACCCUUGGUCACUGGCAGGUGGUACAAAUAAUUCUCUCCCUUUACAUAAGGCAGUUUAGGUGGCAACAUGACAGGAAGUUCCACAAAGCCCUCUCCAGCACUAACGCUAGGGGAAGCAGGAUGUUCUCGGGAAGGAGAAGAGCUGGUGUGCAUUCUCCAGCAAAGAGCUACAAUGAAAGUCCCUGUGGACUCACCAUUUUUCACGCUCUUCACCGCAGGCAUAUUUAUUAAAAGAGAACUAGAGCUUGGCUGUUGGCUGAGUUAAUAUACAGGUUUGGAAGCUCUGAUCUGCCAAGACAGGUCUGAGGAGCCCCCUCUGUGGGGUCAGGAGACCAGCAGUAUAUUUCAGGGAAGCAGAAGCUGUGAAACAAUACUAUCUCAGCCUCUUCUAUGCCUUCCCCACAUCGGCGCUCUCAAUUAAAACUAGCCAUUAUUGUGUAAGUAAAAUACUUUCAAAGUGAAUGCUUUAUAUUAUUCCCUCUAUCCUACCCAGUUUAUCUGCCUGGUCAUUGUUUGUGAUAAAAUCUCAACCUUUAUUUCUAUCUAAUAGGUCUCCUUUAUUUGAAUCCAUAGUGACUGGAUUUAAUGGAGAGCUGGUAAAAAGCCAGGGAAAGUGAUAUGAUGAAAAUCAUCUACUCAAAACCCACUGGUGCUAAAUAUUAUCUCGAGCACAAAGAUUAUACAUCCUAGGUCAGCAUGCAAUGAGCUCCAUAAUCUGACUCUGAUGAAUCUUUCCAACCACCUCUUCCAUAACUUAUACUUUGUAUUUUGAGGCAUCUUUCAUUUCAUCAGCCUACACUCUUCUUAUUUCACCCAGGGAAAUACACUUUUUAUUUUUACCCCCUCCCUCAACUUCUUCUCACAAAUGCUCCUUCCCAAGUCCAAAUAUGUGGUUUGAGAAGUGACAUCCAUAUUCUUUCCAACUUUAUGUUUUUACAAGGUCCACCCUCUCUGUAGUUGGUACAGGGUUGGGCAGCUGACCUAAGCUAGGCACCAGCAUAGGAUUUUAGAACUUGAACCAGAGUCUGAGUUUCUGCUUGGUAGCACACUUGGAAGGUGGGCUAACAGAAGAAGUAGAGCCAUGAUUCCAACCAGGAGGAUAAAGACAGUCCAGAAGAAUGAAAAUGACAAGCUGAGAGAAUCAGAGGGGGUGGAGAGUGAGUUCUGGUGAUUUUCAAGCCAUUUGUCCCAUUUAUCGUUACAACCAGCUGUACUUCUGCCUGUCCCACAAUUUUGUGAGCCUUACUGUUAAUUUCCAUUUUUACCUGAGCUAUGGCAAGUUGAUCUUUUUAGUCACUUGCAACCAAAAUAAUUUCAAUGAACACAUAUGCUCGAUGCUGUUUCCUCUGUUUGCCUGCCUCUGUAGCUGCUGUUUCCUCUCUGAGAAUCCAUCCCUCACCUCUAACUCACAGAAUCCUACCUUUCUUUCAAGACCCAGUUAAAUGCCAAAGUGUUAAUUAAAAAUGGCAGCCAAUAUUUCCAGGCGAAGUGAUCACGCUCUCUUCCGCUCUUUUGCACUCAGGACUCCUUACGGCAGUUCAUUCUCCUGUAUAAUAAAGCUACAUACGUACUUGUCUGAUUGUACCACUUGUCCUCCAUUAAUUAUAAAGUUUCCUAAGGGAAGAGACUGUGUGAUCAGUGGUUUGCCAGUCCCCAUAAGAUCUAGCACUGGACUGUCACGUGAGAAGAAAUAUUCAUUUAGCUUUUUCUUGAGUUGUAUAUCCAUCUGAGUCCUCCAAGACACGGGAGGAGAGUUCUAGAAGUAGAUAAGUUUCCUAAUCAAGCAAAUUCCAUCUAACAACAGUAUGUUCUAAGCAUGAGUUUCAGGCUCCUGGAAUAGGCACUUUACCCACAGCAAAGCCAUUGGCAUACAGCCUCUUUCUUCAGUUCCUGCUCAAAACAGGUAUGCAAACACAUCGUUUCUGCAGGGCAGCAUUACCCAUGGGGACCUCCCUUAUGAGGUCCAUUAUGAGCCAUUAUGAGGUCAUGGAAUGCUGCUGCUGGUGGGCCUCCAAAGAAUACUCCUCACUCAACUUUGGGACAGGAUCAGGACAUAGGACCAACCUAGGAUCUGGAAACUAACAAGAACCAGCUAUCUAUAGAAGUUGCUGCCCUAAGAGAUCCUCGAGAUUCCAUAGCAUGAAAGCAAUGCAUCCUCUGAUGACAAGGAGGGCAUCUGUUCGGAAAGCGAAAACUGGGCAAGAGCAAGCAGGGUCAUCCAGAGGAGACCCCUCUUCAGGCACCGGAACCCCAACUCCAGCCUGACAUUUAAGAGGACCCUGUGCUUAGCACAGAGGCUAUGGGAGGCACAUUAAAAAGCUCCCAGGUGAUGAGAUGCUGCUACACACUGGACUACACUUUGAGUAGCGCUUGUCAAGGAGGAAUGAUGGGAUAAAAAAGAGGAAUCCAGAGCGGAAACAGGAAGAUGCGGCAGGAUAUGAGCCUCAGCUCCUGGAAGGCGCUAUUGGAAAAGGGAGCAGACCCUCUCAGGUGGCUGGCCGUCCAGCUUCUGCUACGUCUGUGAGGUGGCUCAGUUUCGUCUGUCUGCAAAGUCCUGCCUUCCUUCAAGCUGAUGCCUCCCUCCUGUUGGUCCAGAGGAAAGACAGGACCAGUGGCUGGAGCAGGGACUGCAUGCCCCUGCUGCCCAGGACCCUCGGGGGAGCCCGGGAGAGAGGACCUGGAGCCUGACAGCUCUCCCCACUGAGCCUCAGGCCUGCGCUUGGGAGCACGGCUGAAAGUCAUCGUGCUGCUCUUCUGUCGUACAGGACUGGGAGACUCAAAAGAGGAAGCAAAGGGACCAUGACGCUCUCACAAGUGAAAUGAGGAAAAAUAAUGAAUUUUUAACAAAGCUAAAUUUAUUCAGUUUAAAGGACUCUCCUUUAUGCUUAGAUUAAAACUUCCUGUUUUUUUAACUAUCAUUUAUUAAAUUAAAGUAAUUGAUAGUCGUAUGUGUG
This is a non-coding RNA of Equus caballus (horse), 3382 nucleotides long. The record is from RefSeq and is a predicted model, not a curated record. NCBI's taxonomy places the organism in Eukaryota, Metazoa, Chordata, Mammalia, Perissodactyla, Equidae.